Long non-coding RNA from Anser brachyrhynchus (Pink-footed goose), 1795 nucleotides. The record is from Ensembl. NCBI's taxonomy places the organism in Eukaryota, Metazoa, Chordata, Aves, Anseriformes, Anatidae.
UUCUUCCUAUCACAUUUGGUGGUUAUAUAUUCAUGGGGGAUGCGGGGAAGGGAGGUAGAUCAGUACAGACUGGUGCAUUAAGAUAUAUUGCAUGUGGAAAAGUUGACACCAGAGCAUGUGGCUGACAGAUAGGAGAGAGGCAAGCAGACAGCAGAAUAUCCCCAAGUCCAUUAUAACGCCAUCAAACUGACCUUUACAAAAUAUAUAUGAGAACAAUAAAAAGGGACCUUCCUGGCUUUGGAUGCAGCAGUGGCACCAAAGGUGGUUUAACGCCCUGUGUGCUCCUCAUCUCCCAGCACCUCGGUGUCCUGGGCUGACCAGGGGGGCUGCACAUCCUGCGGGGUGUUCGGGCAUUGCAGAGCUUCUGGAUGCUGCAGGACCAUGGAGGAAGAGCCAGCAGCAUGGCACCAAUCCUGCCAGGAGCCAUGGCAUGGGAUGCUGCACGCAUGGGAUGCUGCAGGCACAGAUGGAGGCACUCACAGCUCUCCCCUCCAAGUCCCAGCUGUAACCAAGUAUGUUUUGAGAUCUACCCUGACUCAUCCCAGUUUGUUUCCGCGUCAGCCAGCCCACAGAGCGGGAAGUGCCAGCAUGGGCAGGAGGGGACAGGGCCCUUCACAGCCUGCUUUGAGGGGGGGGAUGGAGCAACCAGACGGGAUCCACCAAACCUCUCAGAUGGCCGCAGGCACAGCGAGCUGCUGCCUGCAACACCCCAGCAAUGCCCUGCAGCCUGGUGGGUCAGCCCUUGGGCAUAAAUCCCUCCAGAGGCUGCAAACUGCAGACGAGGAGGGGAUUUAGGCUCCUACUGGGUCACUGCCAGAGCUGGCUGUGUCCAGGGCUUCCCCCUCGCUGACACUGGGGGCUGAGGCUUUGUAGAUCCCCUCGUGGACAGUCCCCCCUAGAAGGAUUAAGCAUUAACAGGGCUGGAGAGAUGGAGCGUGUAACUUGGGCACCGGCCGGGAAAACAGGGUUACAGCUCCUUAACCCCAGGCGUAUCACGUGUCGCUCACUCUUUUCUUUUUGCAGGCAGGGGUGGAAAGGUUAAUGAGCUCACCCAGGGCUGUGAUGAGCUUUGUUGGCAAGAGGAGAGCCUCCAAAGGCCUGGGGUGGAGUGCUCCAGCACUGGGUGGUCCCUCAGCCCCUCUCGGUCCCUGCCCAGCGGGGAAGAGCCCUCAGGAGCUCAGGGACACGCAAAGCUCGUCCCUCUCUCCUCUGCUGCAUAGCUCGGGCCUGGCUCUAAUAGCAAAAUGAUGGCUGCAAUCCUGCACCCUGAAAAACCAAAGGGAUUUUUCCAGGACUGGGAAACUCCCUGGGACAGUAGCAACGGCAGGGGCAGAGCUUUUCAGCGCUAGAGAAGAGCGUAGCAGAAACCAGCCACGCAGGGAAGGCAGGUCUGCAGUGUUGCCGCCGCACCACGGGGAAGUGUGACACGUGGGCGUACCCUCAAUUCGCGAGUGUUUCCACCCCGAUGUGCUGCGAGCCGGGGACAGCAGGGAGCUGGGUGCGUGGUGUCUGUGCGGCGAAGGGGCGCAGCGAGGUGUUACAAACGCCGCCUUCCCCUCCCUGCUGGCUGCCUGCUCUAAGGGCUUUAAGAAGCAGAGUCGGUGCAAGCCCCCAGUUCUGAUUCCCACCGUAGUGCUGCUGGUGCUUGCAUGCAUUUGGGCAGAGAGCUUGCUUCAUCCUCCAGCCCUGCUGCAGCUUUCAUGCUUGCCGUAGCCAGCUUGUGAGCAUCCAUGCACUUGCAGAGCUGCCUCAGCACCCUGGUCUUGAGCUGCUGCUCCAGUUUGUGCUUUGCUGG